GCGGGUGUGGCGAAACCGGCAAACGCAGCGGUCUAGAAAACCGCCGUCCCCCCCAGGACUUGUGGGUUCGAAUCCCACCACCCGCA
RNAcentral lists this transfer RNA (86 nucleotides) under Acidobacteriota bacterium. RNAcentral describes it as "Acidobacteria bacterium tRNA-Ser". It matches the Rfam family "tRNA". From Rfam's summary of the family: Transfer RNA (tRNA) molecules are approximately 80 nucleotides in length. Their secondary structure includes four short double-helical elements and three loops (D, anti-codon, and T loops). Further hydrogen bonds mediate the characteristic L-shaped molecular structure. tRNAs have two regions of fundamental functional importance: the anti-codon, which is responsible for specific mRNA codon recognition, and the 3' end, to which the tRNAs corresponding amino acid is attached (by aminoacyl-tRNA synthetases). tRNAs cope with the degeneracy of the genetic code in two manners: having more than one tRNA (with a specific anti-codon) for a particular amino acid; and 'wobble' base-pairing, i.e. permitting non-standard base-pairing at the 3rd anti-codon position. The record is from RNAcentral. Lineage: Bacteria; Pseudomonadati; Acidobacteriota.